AUUUAAAUAGUUUAAUUUAAAACAUUAUUUUUUCAUAAUAAAAAUUAUAUUUUUUAUAUUUAAAUA
Molecule: transfer RNA, 66 nt
Filed under: Orthotrichia sp. XG-2021
Lineage: Eukaryota; Metazoa; Arthropoda; Insecta; Trichoptera; Hydroptilidae
Description: tRNA-Glu
Source: RNAcentral